This 612-nucleotide ribosomal RNA is filed under the name uncultured bacterium. RNAcentral's name for it is "bacterial SSU rRNA". It matches the Rfam family "Bacterial small subunit ribosomal RNA", at positions 188 to 811 of the family's 1533-position model. The record is from RNAcentral.
GCAUGGUCCUCUGGGAAAGCUUUUGCGGUAUGGGAUGGGGUCGCGUCCUAUCAGCUUGAUGGCGGGGUAACGGCCCACCAUGGCUUCGACGGGUAGCCGGCCUGAGAGGGCGACCGGCCACAUUGGGACUGAGAUACGGCCCAGACUCCUACGGGAGGCAGCAGUGGGGAAUAUUGCACAAUGGGCGCAAGCCUGAUGCAGCGACGCCGCGUGCGGGAUGACGGCCUUCGGGUUGUAAACCGCUUUUGACUGGGAGCAAGCCCUUCGGGGUGAGUGUACCUUUCGAAUAAGCACCGGCUAACUACGUGCCAGCAGCCGCGGUAAUACGUAGGGUGCAAGCGUUAUCCGGAAUUAUUGGGCGUAAAGGGCUCGUAGGCGGUUCGUCGCGUCCGGUGUGAAAGUCCAUCGCUUAACGGUGGAUCCGCGCCGGGUACGGGCGGGCUUGAGUGCGGUAGGGGAGACUGGAAUUCCCGGUGUAACGGUGGAAUGUGUAGAUAUCGGGAAGAACACCAAUGGCGAAGGCAGGUCUCUGGGCCGUCACUGACGCUGAGGAGCGAAAGCGUGGGGAGCGAACAGGAUUAGAUACCCUGGUAGUCCACGCCGUAAACGAUG